This 496-nucleotide ribosomal RNA is filed under the name uncultured bacterium. RNAcentral's name for it is "partial 16S ribosomal RNA". It matches the Rfam family "Bacterial small subunit ribosomal RNA", at positions 355 to 844 of the family's 1533-position model. The record is from RNAcentral.
UGGGGAAUUUUGGACAAUGGGGGCAACCCUGAUCCAGCAAUGCCGCGUGUGUGAAGAAGGCCUUCGGGUUGUAAAGCACUUUUGUCCGGAAAGAAAUCGCCCUGGCUAAUAUCCGGGGUGGAUGACGGUACUGGAAGAAUAAGCACCGGCUAACUACGUGCCAGCAGCCGCGGUAAUACGUAGGGUGCAAGCGUUAAUCGGAAUUACUGGGCGUAAAGCGUGCGCAGGCGGUUGUGCAAGACAGAUGUGAAAUCCCCGGGCUUAACCUGGGAAUGGCAUUUGUGACUGCACGGCUAGAGUGUGUCAGAGGGGGGUAGAAUUCCACGUGUAGCAGUGAAAUGCGUAGAUAUGUGGAGGAACACCGAUGGCGAAGGCAGCCCCCUGGGAUAACACUGACGCUCAUGCACGAAAGCGUGGGGAGCAAACAGGAUUAGAUACCCUGGUAGUCCACGCCCUAAANGAUGUCAACUAGUUGUCGGGUCUUAAUUGACUUGGU